GCUUACGGCCAUACCAGCCUGAAAGCGCCCGAUCUCGUCAGAUCUCGGAAGCUAAGCAAGGUCGGGCCUGGUUAGUACUAGGAUGGGAGACUUCCUGGGAAUACCAGGUGCUGUAAGCA
RNAcentral lists this ribosomal RNA (119 nucleotides) under Hucho hucho (huchen). Lineage: Eukaryota; Metazoa; Chordata; Actinopteri; Salmoniformes; Salmonidae. The record is from RNAcentral.